GGCAGGAGUGGCGCCGCUGGGAUGGAGAGGUGGCCGGGCGCGCCGAGUGCCCCAGCUGCGCAGCUGGACGCUGGGCGCUGGAGCGGCGAGGGAACACUUUGUCCUCGCUCUGUCUGCCGGCCUCCCCCGACCGCCGAUGGAGCGGUGGAGACGGGGCCUGAGCGGGGAGGGGGGCGCAGAUGUCCUGAAACAAAGCUUGGGCUCGCUCCUGUCCGCCGGUGAGCCUCAGGGCACCCAGAGAAGUGAAUUCUGCCAUCGCGGCGCUCUUGUCAGUUUUCCCACCUUCCCUUUUCUAACAGGCUGUUUGUGGGCUUCUUUUGGCUCUUGGGAAAUAACUACUUACAGCGUUGUUAGCAGGAGCUGCGUGUUCCUGCUCCGUCCUGGGUAGUUUCACCCGGAGGAGGGGAUGGUGUCUAAUCUCCUACGCCGUUGUGGAUCACAGACCUCUCCUUUUUGCUAGUGGAAAAUAAUCUUUACGUUUAUGUAACUUGGCGAGCCCCAGAUGAGUGAAAGGGAGGCUUCCCGGUGAGACUUCCAAAUGUAUCCUAGGGGUUACCGUUGCUCCAGUACUUUGAGUUCCGGUGAAGGCAGACAGGAGAACAAAUAGUGUUGGGAACUAGUUGGAGGAGAACUAUUUACAGUUGUCUUUUUGUUGCAAGUUGGGUAUUAGUUAAGCUUUACCCUUUGAAAUAGGAGGAAGCAUCUUUCACUCAGUGUUCUGAAGACCAGGCUAGCAUCAUUGCACCAAAAUUUAUUGUGUGUGGAGAUGGAGAGCGUUAAAUGUACACACUUAACCAAAAAGUUGUGUCUGGCACUGUGAUCUUGUUCUUGUUGGAGGGGAAGGUGCCUAGUGCAGCUUAGCCUGUGCAGUUUUCCACUGGGCAGAUAUUUUCCUACCCUACUAACUUUUCUUCUUUUGAAUCUGCUUCUCAAAGGACUUGAGAUUCCAGAUGGCAAAUUCUAUGAAUGGCAGAAACCCUGGCGGUCGCGGAGGAAACCCCCGGAAAGGACGAAUUUUGGGCAUUAUUGAUGCCAUUCAGGAUGCCGUGGGACCCCCGAAGCAAGCGGCUGCAGAUCGCAGGACUGUGGAGAAAACUUGGAAGCUGAUGGACAAAGUCGUGAGACUGUGCCAAAAUCCCAAACUUCAGUUGAAAAACAGCCCACCGUAUAUUCUUGAUAUUUUGCCUGAUACAUACCAACAUUUGCGACUUAUCUUGAGUAAAUAUGAUGACAACCAGAAACUUGCCCAACUCAGUGAGAAUGAAUAUUUUAAAAUCUACAUUGAUAGUCUAAUGAAAAAAUCAAAACGGGCGAUCAGGCUCUUUAAAGAAGGGAAGGAGCGGAUGUAUGAAGAACAGUCACAAGACAGGCGAAAUCUCACAAAACUGUCGCUUAUCUUCAGUCACAUGCUGGCAGAAAUCAAGGCAAUCUUCCCCAAUGGUCAGUUCCAGGGGGAUAACUUCCGCAUCACAAAAGCAGAUGCUGCUGAAUUCUGGAGGAAGUUUUUUGGAGACAAAACUAUCGUACCGUGGAAAGUGUUCAGACAGUGCCUUCAUGAGGUUCAUCAGAUUAGCUCUGGCUUGGAAGCAAUGGCUUUAAAAUCAACAAUUGAUUUAACUUGCAAUGAUUAUAUUUCAGUUUUUGAAUUUGACAUUUUUACCAGACUGUUUCAGCCUUGGGGCUCUAUUCUACGGAAUUGGAAUUUCUUAGCUGUCACACAUCCCGGUUACAUGGCGUUUCUCACAUACGAUGAAGUCAAAGCACGGCUACAGAAAUACAGCAACAAACCUGGAAGCUACAUUUUCCGGUUAAGCUGUACACGAUUGGGACAGUGGGCCAUUGGCUAUGUGACUGGGGAUGGCAAUAUCUUACAGACAAUACCUCAUAACAAGCCCUUAUUUCAAGCCCUGAUUGAUGGCAGCAGGGAAGGAUUUUAUCUUUAUCCUGAUGGGAGGAGUUAUAAUCCUGAUUUAACUGGACUAUGUGAACCCACACCCCAUGAUCAUAUAAAAGUUACACAGGAACAAUAUGAAUUAUAUUGUGAAAUGGGCUCCACUUUUCAACUCUGUAAAAUUUGUGCAGAGAAUGACAAAGAUGUCAAGAUUGAGCCAUGUGGGCAUUUGAUGUGUACCUCUUGUCUUACAGCAUGGCAGGAAUCUGAUGGCCAGGGAUGCCCCUUCUGUCGUUGUGAAAUAAAAGGAACUGAGCCCAUAAUCGUGGACCCCUUCGAUCCUAGAGAUGAAGGCUCUAGGUGCUGCAGCAUAAUUGACCCUUUUGGCAUGCCAAUGCUCGACUUGGAUGACGAUGAUGACCGAGAGGAGUCCUUGAUGAUGAACAGACUGGCAAAUGUUCGAAAGUGCACAGACAGGCAGAACUCACCAGUCACAUCUCCUGGGUCCUCUCCCCUUGCCCAGAGAAGAAAGCCACAGGCAGAUCCUGUCCAAAUCCCUCAUCUCAGCCUGCCACCAGUGCCUCCUCGCCUGGAUCUGAUUCAGAAAGGCAUAGCCCGAUCGCCCUGUGGCAGCCCAACCGGUUCGCCAAAAUCUUCUCCUUGUAUGGUGAGAAAACAAGAUAAACCACUCCCAGCACCACCUCCUCCCGUAAGAGAUCCUCCUCCACCUCCACCAGAAAGACCUCCGCCAAUCCCACCUGACAAUAGACUGAGCAGACACUUCCAUCAUGUAGAAAGUGUGCCUUGUAGAGACCAGCCUAUGCCUCUUGAAGCCUGGUGCCCUCGAGAUGUGUUUGGGACUAAUCAGUUGGUGGGAUGUCGCAUCCUAGGGGAUGGUUCUCCAAAGCCUGGAAUCACAGCUAGUUCAAAUGUUAAUGGAAGACACAGUAGAGUGGGCUCUGACCCAGUGCUGCUGCGGAAACACAGACGCCAUGAUUUGCCUUUAGAAGGAGCCAAGGUCUUCUCCAAUGGUCACCUUGGAAAUGAAGAAUAUGACGUGCCUCCUCGGCUCUCACCUCCUCCUCCAGUUGCCAACCUUCUCCCUAACGUGAAGUGUACUGGUCCGUUAGCCAAUUCUCUAUCAGAGAAAACAAAAGACAUGGUAGAAGAUGAUGAUGAUGAAUACAAGAUUCCUUCAUCCCAUCCUGUUUCCCUGAAUUCACAAUCAUCUCAUUGUCAUAACGUAAAACCUCCUGUGCGGUCGUGUGAUAAUGGUCAUUGUAUAGUAAAUGGAACACAUGGUACAUCAUCAGAAAUAAAGAAAUCAACCAUCCCUGAAUUAGGCAUCUAUUUAAAAGGAGAUGUUUUUGAUUCAGCCUCUGAGCCAGUGCCAUUACCACCUGCCAGGCCUCCAACUCGGGACAAUCCAAAGCAUGGUUCUGCACUCAACAGGACGCCCUCUGAUUAUGAUCUUCUCGUCCCUCCAUUAGGUGAAGAUGCUUUUGAAGCCCUUCCCCCAUCAUUGCCACCUCCCCCUCCACCAGCAAGACAUAGUCUCAUCGAACCUUCAAAACCUCCUGGCUCUGGUAGCCGACCGUCCUCAGGACACGACCUUUUCCUUCUUCCUUCAGAUCCAUUUUUUGAGCCAUCAAGCGGCCAAGUUCCUUUGCCCCCUGCCAGGAGAUUACCAGGUGAAAAUGUCAAAUCCAACAGAACAUCGCAGGACUAUGACCAGCUUCCUUCAUCUUCAGAUGGUCCACAAGCACCAGCCAGACCCCCUAAACCACGGCCCCGCAGGACUGCACCGGAAAUUCACCACAGAAAACCCCAUGGGCCUGAGGCAGCAAUGGAAAGUGUUGAUGCAAAAAUCGCAAAACUCAUGGGAGAGGGUUAUGCCUUUGAAGAGGUGAAGAGAGCCUUGGAGAUUGCCCAGAAUAAUGUGGAAGUGGCCCGCAGCAUCCUCCGAGAAUUUGCCUUCCCUCCUCCGGUCUCCCCACGUCUCAAUCUAUAGCAGCCAGGAGUGGAGUCACCAAAAUGAAGAGCAAUUGACAGAUAAUUCCUGGAGUAGGGAAGAGAGAAGACCGAUAUGGAGCUCACGUGUGAAGGUGUGCAUACGCACACGGCACCAGGGGCGCGCUCCUGCUUGGAGUGGAACUUCGCAGAGCCCAGCUGUUUGCUCAGGAUGUCCACGGCCGCUGCAGCUUCCUUGUUUUUGCUAGCCAUACUUUGAAAUCAGGGUUGAACUGACAAAUAAUUUAAAAACGUUUACUUCCCUUGAACUUUGAAUCUGUGAAAUGCUUUUCCUUGUUUACAAGUUAGCAAAGUUGCAGUUUGUGUGUGGUUUUGUUUUCUGAUACCUGUACUGUGUCCUGGACAAGCCUUUUGUAGAAUAGUCAGGUCUGCUGUAACGUCACCCACCAGCCCUCUCACUCUCCAUGGAACAGGUGCAUCUCCUGUUUGUUUCCUGCCAAUCAUGCCCUCCAUCCCAGGUCCAGUUCCAUUUCUGUCAUUUAUAAAAUGCUUUAAGGUUCUGAUUUUCAACAUAUCAAACUAAUGCAAAAAAAGAAAAACAGAAGUGUGUGUUCUUCACUACUGAGACUUUUCCUUGGAAACCAUCAUGAGAGAUGGGAAAAUCUGAAUGUAUAAAACAUUUAUUUGUCAAUAAACUGCCUUUUACAAGGGGAUUUUACAUAACAUAGAGGAGCUUCCCUUUUAAGUGUGAGCUUCAUGACCUUAAAUCUUCGCUGUUCUCAUUGCUGUCAUCCAAGGGGUAUAAAAAUCUAAAAUGUAAGACAGCAACGACCGCAGAUGAUGCAGAAAUAAACUCACUCUCAUAGGACAGUGCUACCGUGACAGUGCAUAAUGAGAUCUCACAGCACGUGUGCCUGUGUUACUUCAAGGCAAGCAGAGCAGGAAGGCCAUCCCCAGACACGUAUUAAUAACUUCUAGAUAAAAUUAUGGACAUGGGUGUCCCAGCGUGCACUGGAGUUCACUUCCUCUGCCAGUGAUUACACUCUGAUCCCAAGAGCUGCAUGAGCGGUUCCUAUUGCAGUAGAAAUGUUAAAUCUGCACCAAGUGCCACAGCACUUCAGAGUUCUUAGUAAUUUUCCCUCUGGUGAAGUCAGGGUUCAUAUUUAAUCUGUAGAGUGUCUCACUCAUUGCCUAAGAGGGUAGUCAUUAUUGUGAAAAAAAAAAGGAUUUUUUCAGGAAUCAUGUCAUUGUUUAGAUGAAUCUAUAAGUGUUUUUGGGCAAAAGUUGUGUGCUUGGCACUGUGAAGCCCUGUAUUUUAAGGCACAAUUUCUCCUAAGCCAUUUUAUUCUUUGUCUUUUUGAUGACAAAAUUCUGCUGCAUAAAACCUUACAAAUUUCCACAAUAGCUUUAGGAUUUUCCAGAACCCUGCUUCUUUUGUACCUGAAAAAUGAUUGGAAAUCCAAACCAGGCUGUCUUAGUAAAAGGUAGGAAUCCAGGUUUUAUAAAUAUGGAACAACUGGGUAUGUGCCACAUCUUUUUUUUUUAACAGAUUUAUUUAUUCAUUUGUUUGAAAGAGUGUAUGUGGGAGAGAGGGUGUGAGACAGAGAUCUGCAUUUCAGUAGCUGGAUGUGUGCCCCAGGUGGAAGCCAGGAAUCAGAAAUCCAUCCAGAUCUGCACUGGAGGUGGCGAGGACCUGUGUGGUUGACCUUCUCUGGCCUCCUAGGAUGCUGUGCUCCGGGAAGCUCAUCGGAGGCAAAGGCAGUGUUUGAUCCUGGACACUCAGUGUAGGAUAUAGUUAAACAGUAACUGCUUAACCACUGCCAUGCCAGGCCUUCCUCAAAUACACCUUUAACUUAACACACAGUGUCACAGAGAAGAUGCAUCAGCCCCUGAGUCUCCAUGGAAAAGCACAACCAUACAUCUGAUAAAUGCCAUAGAAGUUAAUGUUCUUCAAAAGUUAUGCAGAUGGCCAAGUUGCCCUCACAAAGAGCGACUAGCACAUUCCAAUGCAAGUGAUACAUGCCCUUUCUUAAAGCUUGGCUUCCAUAGUGUGAGCUGUAAGAAGUCCUGGGCCUCAGACUGUUUGUGCUCUUGCAUAUGCAUUUCUUCAUGUCACUCUCAGCUGACUCAUUCUUUAAGGGAAAUUUUUUACUUACCAUAGUUGUUCUUCCUAUGAGUAGUUAUGUGAAUAGAUUUUUUUUCUACUUAAAAUUGGUUAGCUUAUUCUCUUUUGCUUUAUGAACUCUGUGUUAUAUCCUGAUGUUUGUAUAUCUUGUGAAUUUCUGAUGUCGCAUUGGAAUAGCAGUGUAUGUUUGGCCUUUUGAGGACUCACUGACAGUCCACCAGCCAGAGGUACAACUUUUUGUGUGAUACAUUGAUAGAGCAUUCUUCACUGAAUGCAGAAUGAUGUAAAAGUAGAAUGUUAGGAAACAUAGUUUGUUUUCAUUUAAUUUUCAGAUAGCCAAGUGAAGAUUUCCAAUGAGAAUUUCAAAAGACAAGACGGGAUGAUAUAAUAAAUUUGGUCCUAAAAGUUUAGGAACUACCAGUUCAGCAAACAAAGCUUACCCAUGUUACUCAAACCCUCUCUGUUGUCUUAUACAUAGCCUAUAGAAAUUAUUGGUUUUAUCAUUUUUAAAAAAAUAAAUCAACUCAUAUGGAGUGGAUUGGAAACAACUUGUUCUAUAAAACACUUCAAUGAAAAAAAAAAAAACAUUGCUACUGAUUGCCUGUGACAUCACACUCAAAAAGACAUGAGGAAGUAAUUAAACUAAAAUACUUUCUCAUGAUAACUAUAAUAACCUGUAAAUGUUUAGAAAUAGCCCAAACUUUAUGAUCAAAAAAGUUAAAUAUUCAUUUAAUUUCUCAAGAUUCGGAAACAUGUCUGUGCCAGUGUUUCAUAUAGAGGAAGAGAGGAGCAAAUCAUAGCUAUCAUCAACCCGUCCCUGUCCAAACAUGUCUCAGAAGAUCAUAUUCGGUGAUGUUCUAGGAGUAGUAUCUCCAUAAUCUGCUGUGGUCUCCUGAUAACUGAUCCAGGCUAGCUGAACUUUAUAGAAUAAAAUCAAAGCAGUUGACACUUGAACUCUCUUCCACACACAAGACCUGCAGCUAUUUCUGUCCGUUUUCCCUAGUCCACAUGCGAACAGUCUUUAUCAGAGAUCCUUAAAUACAAGUGCAUACGCUCCCUUUGUUAUCUCUGUAUUUCACACCAAGAACACUUACGAGAUUUUUCAUAAUGUGAAUUUUUACAUUUUCAGUUAUAGAAGCAUUUCCUACAGUUUGGACAUUAUUCUUCCUCUAGGUUUUUCAACCUGAAGCUUUUUUUUGCACUGACUUUUCUAACCUGAAUAAAUUUUUAAUUUCUAUAUUAACUGACAGAUAUGGAAGCAACUCACAGCCUGAUUUAAAUGAUGAAAGAUGCCUGUUAAAUACCUGGAAUUUUAGUGCUUCUAGAAACAGUGUCCAGAAAACACAGCAACAGAGUGAAGGGUUUUCUUCUCAAUUACUAUUUUAUUGUGUGUUUCUUUAAUGAAUUUUUUAAACUUGUUUAAUGUGGAAAAAAUUGUUAUGUGUUCCAUUAAUUUAUAUUGUGUUCAUUCUUUUUCAGUUCUGGUUAUUAUGUAACCUCAAGUACUUUAUCAGUUCUUUUAAAAUAUUUUAUAAAAUGAUUGUUAAAAUAUGGAGUCGGGGUACUUUAUUUUUUUAAAUGAACACAACCGUGUCACAGCAUUUCUAUGUUGUAAUUUUUCUUCUUGGUGUUGAAGAAAAAGACAUUUGAUUUGUGAGCCAGUUGGACAGAGUGGCACCAAGGCACUCAUCCUAGGUGAUUCAUUUGUCAAAUACUAAAACUAUAAUUUUAUGAUAGUGUAAUAGAUAAAAUUCUCUCUUGUCAUAGAACUGAAUGUCCAAGUUACAUUAGGGUGACAAGUUAGAAAAUGGGGUCUUAGGCGAAAGGCCCCAAGUACAAUGUUUUUCGUCAUAAUUGUUGCAGCUAACCAGUAGUAAAAAUUCUUUAUUUUCCUAAUCCUUUCUUGCUGGCCAGUGUACAGUGGGAAGCUACUGAGAUUUUUUAUUAUUAUUAUUUUUAUUUUAUACCACAAACAAAAUAUUCUAGAAUUAAUUGAUACAUGCACAGAGAUGGUAAUUACUCCCGGAAAGCACAGGAAUAAAAUGAAAUUGGAGCUACAUUUAAGGAAGUGACUUCAGUGCAAUAAAUACUGCAAGUGACCACACUGUACCAGAAUGACGUGUAUGCUUUGGAAAUUGGGAUGAACAGUUCACUCAGGAGAUUUGACAUGUCCUAGUGCUGAAUCAUCAACGCUUUGUCAACUUAAGAGAGAAGCAUAAUUCUUCAGGUUAGGAAAGAACUCCAGGGAGCAAUCCCUUUCCCCCCCAAAAAAAAAAUUGUUUGGGCAAAGGCAAGUGGUGGUAGA
Ochotona curzoniae (black-lipped pika) is the source of this 8292-nucleotide RNA transcript. It is a transcript of the gene named Cbl proto-oncogene B, with no coding region annotated. The transcript is spliced from 19 exons. The record is from RefSeq and is a predicted model, not a curated record. NCBI's taxonomy places the organism in Eukaryota, Metazoa, Chordata, Mammalia, Lagomorpha, Ochotonidae.